GACUUUCAGCCCUCAGAGCCGCCCUCAUGUCGCGGGGCAGCGGAAACGGGCGACUAGUUCUGACGACUCCUUGAGGGGAACCCGCCGUUCUCAGCCCGUGCAUCUGUCAGACUCCAGGGGCUGGUCUGCCUCGAAAACAGCCCUUCUUUUGUGUCGCUUUUACCUCUCAACCUUUAUGUUUUUUGUAGGCUUUUGGUCCGUUGGGAAGGGCAGGGUCAGGGGCUGUGCUUGGUUGGUCCCCGUGGCUGAGCGGGACAAGAUGGCGGAGGGUCGGGCCUGGCUAGUCCCGGCCUGGGUCUGGAGUUGGUGCGCGGGGCCAAUUCCAGAGGCUGUUCUUUCAAAAAUAAGAUCGGUUGGGAGCACACCUCUGACCUAGUUUCACUUUUAGAGAAGAAUCUGAAGUGAUGCAGUUUGACGUUUUUGGCGGGAAUGUCGCCGUGUGGCUUGAAAUAAAGAAGGUGCUAGAGAGGGUUUAAACACCCUCCGGGCUGCAGCCGUCUCAAAAACAGACACCAUAGGAAUGGUGACAGGCACUUCAUCCUCCAACAGUACAUGAAAGGAUCAGAAAGUAACGUUUAAACUCUUCACAAUUGAUGCUAAAAAUAACUGUACAAGGAAAUAAAUCCAGUUUGGUAACAGGUAUUUAUGAGGGAGCACCAGCACAGAGGACUCUGCUUAAAACCAAUUUAUUAUUGGUAAAACCUGAAUCCAAGUCCACAUUCUUCUGUUACUGCAUUUAUGCAUUGCUGGCUGUCUGUAGACUGCCCCAUCCUUCGAUUUUUCCGAGUAGAAAGGAGGCAUCAGUAUUGACUGUAUUAGAAGUUACACCUGUGAAUGAAUGUGUUGGUCCCAGCAAAAAUGUAUUUAAGAUGGCUGACAAGACUUUAUAUGUGCUUUGAGUGGAUCUGAAUCUUGAAAAUGGGUAUCAGAGUUCAGAGAUUCACAUUUCACAUUCACAUUAAUUUAAGUUUGAGCAGGUCCUGGCAGCCCCAUCCAGAUGUGUUUCAGCUGAGGAUGAUGCUGUCUGUUCAGGGAUCUGGGAGGUCCUGCCCAGCCUUCACCCUCCAUGUGUUAACUCAGAAGAUGCUUCACAGUAUGGUGAAAGGAGAUCCCAGGAAAUCGGCCCUCCUUUCCUUCUUUGUCGGGAAAGUGUUCCUCUAAAAGCUGCAGGUGGAGCAAGGUAAGAGGAAUAGAGGCAAAGAGAGAAUCUGGAUCUAAAGGUUUUAUGCUACUGUGGAGAAUAAGGUGGUGGCAGCAGAGACAGAGCAAAGAACGGCAGGAGAAAGGGGGUGUAAAUAAGGAAAAAGUGUGAAUUGAAGAGGGAUUUGGCUGUGGAAGUGGUGGGAAAUGUUAUGAGAGAGGAGGGGUAGAAAUCUUAUUUCACAACCAGCUGAAGAAGUGUUCCUUGGGGGAUUUUAUUCAGGAUCACUGGGAAUUGUGUCCCAGUGCCGACUGUUACCACAUGGAGGCAGCAAACUAUGCAAAAGCAGGGAUUUAACAAAAUCCGGGGGGCUGUGAAAGCACUCCGAACCUACUCCUGGGUGUAUUUAUGCUAAUGAUCAGUGAUGCAUCAGGGUUUUUUUAAUUCCUGUGAUGUUUGGGUUAGUGUUUUAUGUUUUAUGACCCCUUGGCUACUCCUUGGACAAUCCUCUGCUGCUAAAUUGUGUGUUGUACCCAUAGAUUUAUGCUGUUCGACACGACUUCUCCCAGAACAGCCUGUUCUUCAUGCUGGAGGUGUUGCUGUGUGGUGCUGUGAGCACUUACAGCAUUUGCAAAAGCUUUAUUAUGGAGGAACAUAAAAAUUGGUUAUUGUGCAGUAAGUGCCACAAAUUAAAGAAUAUAAUAAAAAGAUUAGGGAAAUUUAUUAUUGCAGCUUUUGCUUGUAAAAAGCAAAAGGAGAAAACCUUGCUUCUGUAGUGUAGGUGGGUUUUAGAUUUAACUGUAGAUUUAACUGAAAAUUCUAAGUUUUUUUUGAUUGUUACCUGUUUAAUGAUACCCACUCUAACAAUGUCAUGAAUGUUUUCAUCUGUGCUCUAUUUGCUUCUGUAACUACCUGCAGAUUUCAAUAUCCAUUAAGGGCAUUUAGUAUUUUUCAUCUUCAUCUUUCCAGAAUUAAUAAUGUACUAAGAAUAGGAAGGCAAAAUGUAGAAUAGGACCUGGUCUUGGACUUGCCCCUUUGCACAAGAUAGUAUCUUCUGUUUCCUCCACUGCAUGGAAAUCUUAUUACUUCUUGCUUGAUUUUGCAUCUUGCUAAUUUCAAUAAUUAGAAUGUUUAGUGGUCUUAGAAAAAAGUUCUCGUAGGAAUGCAGGGAGUAGUCUUUAUCAUAAUCAGCCUUGACUGGAUUUGAGCCAGUGGUCAAGGGAUUUGAGCUUGUGGAAGCCAGAAUGCUCCUACAGAUUAUCUGCAGGGAUUUCCUUGUAAAUGGAAUGCCAGCAUGUGUAGUUAUCUGUUCCCUGUUAAGUCUCAAGCUGCACAUGCUUAAUCUUUACUUAUAUGGUACCUGAUUCUUACUGUAAAGUGGGCCUCAGUUUUAACUUUUGAUCUCAGGAAGAAGGGGCUAUUAUAACAAAUUCUAAUCCAUUUGCAGUUCCACAAUCACUAAAGCCUAUAAAUUGCCUGCCAAACAAGCCAAGUGAUCUUUUCCUGGGCUGAGGGAAAGAGGAGAGUGUAAAACACAGGUGCUGGCAUUUGCUGGGGAAGAACUGGUACAUUAUCAACUAAUCCGCCUUCUGCUAUUUCUGAUUUCCUCCCAACAGCUGCAGCUUUGAAUGAGAGCUUCUGCAUUUGGAAAGAAUUAGAAAGCCUGGUAAUGCAGGGUCUCUAUUACAGAUACAACAGCUCACAGACAGGGAGGAGAUUUUUGCUGCUGUUUUAGAAUUUUGAGUGUUAAGCAUUUUAUAGCCUGGAAAAAUUGUAAUUUUCAGCUGUUGUUAUGGAGUAAUCAAUGAAGAAGAGAUGCCACAGUUUCUGCUGGAUUUCUCUCAAAGCCUGAUGUCAUUGCAUGAAGGAGCUUUUUUUUUUUUUUUAACGUGCCACUGAGGCAGAAGCACACACAGUUUUCGUUAAAACUUUUUUUCUUAUGAUGACUGAUGCUCACUGAUAGUUUUAGACCUUCUGAAAUAUCUUUGCUUCUGUAGUGAUAACUCCUGUAUCAGAUAAAAAUGUUCAGAAGAAAUUGUUCCUUGCCAGACCAUUGAAAUAUUAUUACAUUUAAGUUAUUUUAUCUAAUCAGUGCUUAGCUUGGGAGUACGUGUUGAUAAUUUUUUGUCCUCAUCAAAUAGUCUGUGACUUCACUCAAGAAUGAGUGUGGCCAUUCUGCUAAAUGUAAUAAAGGACAAUGUCCUCAAAGAGAGCACAGUGUGCAGAGCAGACCAGGGAAAGCUGCUGCAGCAAAUGUCCUACAGCUGAAGUGCUCCACUCUAAUGUCACAACGUGUCCCCUGAACAGCCCAGUGGCAGCAAAUCCAGCCCUGGAAAGAAUAACUCAGCCAAACUGAUGCGGUCAGUCCAGUUAAUCACUGGCUAUGGUGAAAAUGGGAAAGUCUGACUCUUUUCAUUAACGUGAUAUGUUACAGUUAAACCUCAAAAUGAGAACUGUGUAGGACUGGCUUAGUCAGGAGAAUAACGAUGACGUGCAUUUCAGUUUGAGAAGUGCAGGCUCAUUGCUGCUUCCAGAGAAAGUCAGUUGAGUGGAGACAGUUUUGUGGGCUCUCCUUAAUUUUAGUUGCAGGAGACAUUCUCUUUCCUACAAAAGAAACCUUGCCUUUGAAACCUGCUCCCUCUGGUAGCACCCCAGAGCUGAAUUUGUCAGUGUGCAGCACCCAGUGCACGACUCAUCUCUUCAAUUCAGCCUUUCCAAGUGCAAGGACAGAUCAGCACCUGCGUGGCUGGAGAUGGAAAACCCAGCCUUGUGACAUUUAUAUGCCAAUAUGGGAAGACCUAAAAAGAGGACAUGUGAGACUAGCAUGGCAUUUGCCGGUACCAGGUUGCCAAGGAGGCAUAUUGUAUUGAAACAGUUGCCUGGGAAACAUUUAAAAAUACAUUGAAUGGAAAAGCAUAUGUGAUAUGCCCACAAGUGUUCUGUGUGAAUGAAAUGCUAUGGCUGAUGAUGGCACCAAGAGACUGUUACUAUUACAUGUAAAAAUGCUGCAAGUGAUGUGUGUUUUUUCCCCUUUUGUGGUGUUUUCCUCCCCUGUUUGCAGGAGGUGCACCGAGGGAAAGCUGUUUUGCUCUUGGCUGAUGGAUUAAAGUGAAUGUGGGGAUGGUGGAACACACUGGAAGCAGCAGCAGCUGGGUAUGGCAAGAGCAAUUUGGCUUCAUGUAAGCAACCUAAACCAAUUGACAAAGAGCCUGCACAAUUCCCCCUCAAAAGUAACAACAGCACUGCUCAAACACCCGCAAUAUAAAGAUAAAUGGUUCUCUGAUCAUUGCCACUUUCAUUGGUGCUACAAUGGGUAUUGGGAAGCUCUGAUAUCAUUGCAGUGGGACUUACCUGUAAACAUCAUGGAAAAUGCAAGCGUUUUGAUCAAAGGUUUGACAACAUAUAUGAAAAAGUCUCCCACUGACCUUAUUAUCAUCAAGAAGAUGAUGGGGGAAAGUUUCAGAAGACAGUUAACUCUAGUUAAGCUCUAGUUCUUCCUCAGAUCAGAGUCAAUUUCUGAGAGAUGGUGCUGACAAAAAAGAAUUAUGUCACCAGAACCAAAACAAACAAUCAUAUUCACUCUUUGUCUCACAGAAAAAACCUUUAUUUUCCUAUGCAGCCAAGAAACAAGGAACUAGGAACUGUAAUCUUCGAUAUCCCACCUUGGACAAAGAGGUUCUAUCUGCUAGCAACUUCCAGAUGCUAAAAUGUGUCUCUCCUUCACUAAGAAUGAGUGGCAGGUGUGAGGCUGGUUAGGAUUAUGGUCACCCUGCCUAAUCAUCCUUUGGAGAUUUAGAAACAAAUAUCCUACUCUCGAUUUGCUAGAGGCUUAAGAAGCCUGUUUUGGAGCCAGCAGGUUUAGCUUGGUCCAGGCUUUAUGUGGUGCAAUAAAUUUUUUGGAUGAGACAUGCAGUGGAGAGUUCAGUUGAGUAAGAAAGAAGGUUUGGAGGCAUUUUUGUUGGUGGUAGCUCUGCGAAGAGUUGCCUUACAGGGGAGGGCACCAGGGCCUUGGCUCCUGGAAGAUGUUGCCUGUUUGGGGCUGGGAGGUUGCUGUCUGUCUGGUGAGUGCAGUUCCCCAGGGAGGAGGAGACUUUGCUGUCAGUUUGACCAUUGAGGAGAUGCUUUUUCGCAUUUUGGUUAUCUCUUCAUUUCAGCACUAUCUGCUCAGGGGUUUGAGGUGGUGGGAUGAUCGCAUUGGAAGACCAUGAAUCAGAUGAAGUCUCCUUGGUGUCAGUCAAUUCCCAGUGUCACUCAUCAUUUUUCUGGCCCAGUGUGUGUUUGGUUAAAUCAAGUCUUGCUGUUUCUAGGCCCUGGUGUUAGUGUAAGAGAGGAGGAGAAUCUGCCUUUCAUCCUCUCAGAAUUUUGCAAUGUGACUGAAAACUUGGAGAGAAUGUGUCAGAUUUCAAAGAUUAGGUUUGAUGGCAUGGAGCUGUGGGUUCUGUGGCCCAGCCCAGAAUUCUGCUGAGGGAGUUGUAUCAUCUCCCCAUACUUUAAAGGAUUUAGACUCAGAGUUUAGGAUGAAAUUUGGCUUGAGGUUUUCAUAUUUAUUUCUUGCUUGCUUUCUUGUUUUUUGGGGUUUUUUUGUUUGUUUUUAUUUAAUUCUAAGUGUAUCUCACAAAUUAUAGCCAAUAGAAGUCU
This is a long non-coding RNA of Parus major (Great Tit), 5779 nucleotides long. RefSeq lists it as uncharacterized. NCBI's taxonomy places the organism in Eukaryota, Metazoa, Chordata, Aves, Passeriformes, Paridae. The transcript has 2 exons. The record is from RefSeq and is a predicted model, not a curated record.